UACGAGAGGCCCAAACGUUAUUCGGAUUUACUGGGCUUAAAGAGUUCGUAGGCGGUCCGUCAAGUGAGGUGUGAAAGCCCUCGGCUCAACCGAGGAAUUGCGCUUCAAACUGUCGGGCUCGAGGGAGAUAGAGGUGAGCGGAACUGAUGGUGGAGCGGUGAAAUGCGUUGAUAUCAUCAGGAACACCAGAGGCGAAGGCGGCUCACUGGGUCUCUUCUGACGCUGAGGAACGAAAGCUAGGGUAGCAAACGGG
Molecule: ribosomal RNA, 253 nt
Filed under: uncultured bacterium
Lineage: Bacteria
Description: partial 16S ribosomal RNA
Rfam family: Bacterial small subunit ribosomal RNA
Source: RNAcentral